Molecule: unclassified non-coding RNA, 200 nt
Filed under: soil metagenome
Description: partial contains internal transcribed spacer 2 and large subunit ribosomal RNA
Source: RNAcentral
AUUAUCACUAAUCAAGCCCGGCUUGCUGUUGGACCUCUUGUCGUUAAAAGACAGGCCCUAAAGAUAAUGACGGUGUCAGUUGGACCCUAGAUGCAACGAGCUUUAACUAGCACGCAUCUUAGUUGGCCCUUUUGACCCGGUCUUUUUUAACCAAUUUUCAGGUUGACCUCGGAUCAGGUAGGAAUACCCGCUGAACUUAA